CUUGUCAGCAAAGCUUUAAUUAUUAGGUUUUUACAGUGCUCCGUCGACCAAAAGAAAAUAACGCAACAAGCGUCGAGCCAAUGUAUGCUCGUUCCAAUCUCGAGCUAUUGCUAAUUGGAAAGCCGAAAUACGUUCACGAGUUCGGGCGACUAAAGUUGCGAUGGCACCGAGAAGACACGAGAAGAAUCUGAAGAGGGCGACAAGACAUCAAUUAUUGUGAUCAUAUUGUCAAGACUACGAGUAACACAUUUCAACUGGCGGGAGUUUAUAGUAUCGUUUACAGAUGGCGAGAAGGUGUUAGUGUUAUCGGGUGCACACUGGUUUAAAAAAAGAACAAAAAACCCUGCAAUGAUGCAACGGAGGGAAUUGCUUCUCUGCACAGUUGGCGAGGCAAAAUUAUGCACUUCACGUAACGUUUCUCACCGAUGCCUUCGUGAAUGUGUUUUUUUUUCCCCUCUUACUGUGACCUAAAAAUAGAACGAGAGUUUUGAUCGUGCGCCAGAAAUAGACGGAAAUCACUCGUAUAUAAAGGGAGCCAACGUGGACUCUUAAUAACAAACGGAGGACUUCUUUGAUGCAUUCUUCCCCGAUUCAACUUACUACUGUCGUUCAUGAAUAAAACAUUGAGUAUCUCCUCUAUUUCUAUCUCUCUUCUCAUUUCAGAACGAAGACCUUCCUCCACUUUGGACUAAAAUGGAGCCACUUAAUGGGACCUUCUUCAGACUGAACGGUCACGUCAUCAUAGAUGCUUCCAGAUUGUCUACAAAAAGAAGCGAAGUCCGUUUUGAUUGUAAAGGAGGAGCAAUGGAGCUAUAGGGGCUUAACCUCCCUCCCUAUCGUCCUGAAACACGGUCGUCCAAAGAGGUCCAAGCCUGGGUUCAAGUAAGCGGAGGAAGACUUCAUCAGGGGCCAAGGCACACGGGGCAGGAGCCUGCUUAGCUUGAAGAGCAGAGGACCGAUCUGGCAAAAAAUACCCUCCUGUUCAAACACCAGACUCUGUGUCUGUCAGCAAAGCCCUCAAAAGAAACAGCUGUUGACUGGGAGACUCACGCAAGACCUCACUGUGUGGACAAGGGAUGCAAACGUUCAGAAAUAGUAUAUAUUUUUACGCGCCACGCAACUCUAUUUUGUGCUGUUUUUUGGGUGGUAAGGACAUCCUGGUUAUACAUGGCUUCGUAUGUCAAAUAUUUGUUGAUGAUGGAUUUUAUAAAUAUACUUGAGAUAAA
Long non-coding RNA from Gadus morhua (Atlantic cod), 1226 nucleotides. RefSeq lists it as uncharacterized. The transcript is spliced from 5 exons. Lineage: Eukaryota; Metazoa; Chordata; Actinopteri; Gadiformes; Gadidae. The record is from RefSeq and is a predicted model, not a curated record.